CCCUUCGAUGUUCUGGGCUGCACGCGCGCUACACUGAAGGAGGCAGCGUGUACUCCUGGAUCGAAAGAUUUGGGUAACCCGCGAAUCUCCUUCGUGCUAGGGAUUGAGGUUUGCAAUUAUCCUUCAUGAACGAGGAAUUCCCAGUAAGUGCAAGUCAUAAGCUUGCGCUGAUUACGUCCCUGCCCUUUGUACACACCGCCCGUCGCUCCUACCGAGUGGGUGAUCCGGUGAACUAUUCGGACUCCGGUUAUUCCAGCAUUUGGUUUUGCUGGGGAAAGUUUCGUGAACCUUAUCACUUGGAGGAAGGAGAANUCGUANCA
This 320-nucleotide ribosomal RNA is filed under the name uncultured eukaryote. Its description in RNAcentral is "partial 18S ribosomal RNA". It matches the Rfam family "Eukaryotic small subunit ribosomal RNA", at positions 1470 to 1796 of the family's 1831-position model. The record is from RNAcentral.